AAUUUUGGACACUGGGCGCAAGCCUGAUCCAGCCACGCCGCGUGCGUGAGGAAGGCCUUCGGGUGGUAAAGCCCUUUCGGACGGAAAGAAAUCGCGCAGGCUAAUACCCUGCGCGGAUAACGGUACCGUCAUAAGAAGCACCGGCUAACUACGGGCCAGCAGCCGCGGUAAUACGUAGGGUGCGGGCGUUAAGCGGGAUUACCGGGCGUAAAUCGUGCGCAGGCGGUUGAUUAAGACAGGCGUGAAAUCCCCGGGCUUAACCUGGGAACUGCGCUUGUCACUGGUCAGCUAGAGUACGGCAGAGGGAGGUGGAAUUCCACGUGUAGCAGUGAAAUGCGUAGAGAUGUGGAGGAACACCGAUGGCGAAGGCAGCCCCCUGGGCCGAUACUGACGCUCAAGCACGAAAGCGUGGGUAGCAAACAGG
RNAcentral lists this ribosomal RNA (424 nucleotides) under uncultured bacterium. RNAcentral describes it as "partial 16S ribosomal RNA". It matches the Rfam family "Bacterial small subunit ribosomal RNA", at positions 360 to 776 of the family's 1533-position model. The record is from RNAcentral.